AACGAACGCUGGCGGCAUGCCUAACACAUGCAAGUCGAACGAAGUCUUCGGACUUAGUGGCGCACGGGUGCGUAACGCGUGGGAAUCUGCCCUUGGGUGCGGAAUAACUUCUCGAAAGGGAUGCUAAUACCGCAUAAUGUCGUAAGACCAAAGAUUUAUCGCCCAAGGAUGAGCCCGCGUAAGAUUAGCUAGUUGGUGGGGUAAAAGCCUACCAAGGCGACGAUCUUUAGCUGGUCUGAGAGGAUGAUCAGCCACACUGGGACUGAGACACGGCCCAGACUCCUACGGGAGGCAGCAGUGGGGAAUAUUGGACAAUGGGCGAAAGCCUGAUCCAGCAAUGCCGCGUGAGUGAUGAAGGCCCUAGGGUUGUAAAGCUCUUUUACCAGGGAUGAUAAUGACAGUACCUGGAGAAUAAGCACCGGCUAACUCUGUGCCAGCAGCCGCGGAAU
RNAcentral lists this ribosomal RNA (449 nucleotides) under uncultured bacterium. Its description in RNAcentral is "bacterial SSU rRNA". It matches the Rfam family "Bacterial small subunit ribosomal RNA", at positions 29 to 523 of the family's 1533-position model. The record is from RNAcentral.